RNAcentral lists this transfer RNA (66 nucleotides) under Formicomus sp. FOR01. Its description in RNAcentral is "tRNA-Asn". The record is from RNAcentral. Lineage: Eukaryota; Metazoa; Arthropoda; Insecta; Coleoptera; Anthicidae.
UUAAUUGAAACCAAAAUAGAGGUAUGUCACUGUUAAUGACAUUAUUGAAACUUAUUUCCAAUUAAA